This 253-nucleotide ribosomal RNA is filed under the name uncultured bacterium. RNAcentral's name for it is "partial 16S ribosomal RNA". It matches the Rfam family "Bacterial small subunit ribosomal RNA", at positions 524 to 776 of the family's 1533-position model. The record is from RNAcentral.
GACAGAGGUCCCAAGCGUUAGGCGGAAUCACUGGGCUUAAAGCGUGUGUAGGCGGACUUCUAAGUACCUUGUGAAAUCCCACGGCUCAACCGUGGAACUGCUUGGUAUACUGGUUGUCUUGGGCCAUCUAGGGGCUAGCGGAACAAACGGUGGAGCGGUGAAAUACGUAGAUAUCGUUUGGAACGCCAAUGGUGAAAACAGCUAGCUGGGGAUGUGCCGACGCUGAGACACGAAAGCCAGGGGAGCGAACGGG